GCUUGAGACACAAUAUUGUACGAGGACUGAUCAGUAAUAGGGUUAUUUCCAUGGAAUUUGUAAGGUCUGAAAAGAACCUAGCGGAUCCGCUUACUAAGGGAUUGAAUAAAAAGGUAGUCCAAGAAGCGUCCAGAGGGAUGGGACUAUUGCCAAUAUCUUGAGUAAGUAAUACGCGAUGGAAACCCAACCCAUGUGAUUGGAGAUCCCAUGAAUUGGGUUCAAUGGGUAACAACAAGUCACGUAAUUACUUAAUUAUAGCACUACAAUUAUUUAUAUCCCUUCUUGUGUGCAUGUAGUGUUUACUGACAAAUUGUGAAAGGAUGAAUCGUUUAGAUUCUUAAUGAAACUCAUAGCCCCUAAAGGGUGGUGUAUGUCAGUAUACACUUGAUGGGUUCACCUAUAUAAAGGUGGAAGUGUAGGCCGCUUCCUAUGAGAGUCCUUGGCAAACUCUCUAGAGCCUUUAUGAAAAUCUGGGACAUGGCGCAUGGCCUAGAACGCGCCCAACCGCGGACUUGUGUGGAUUCAGGAUUUAAGAUAUGUGUGCAAGCUCAACUGAUUGUAUCACAGAUAAUAGGUUCAAGAAUAUAAUUCACCUAUAAUCUACAAUCAUGAGCUUGUUCCACUAAGUGCCGAUUCAAACCCAUAAGGUAUCGACAUUAUGUAUCUAAAAUCCAUUGCCCUUCUCACUUCCUUUUGAAUUUUAUCUCUUUGAUAAUUUUGGAUCAUGUGGGGGAUUGUUGGUUAUGCUCCAAAAUCUUAUGUUUUUGGCAAAGUCCCACAUUGGCUAUUCUUGGAACUCUCAUAGUGCAUAUUAGUACUUGUUGUUAUGGGCUUAGUAACAUGGUUGAGGAAAUAGGGAUGGGCUCGCGCACAUGAGGACGGCUAAGGAAUUGGGCGAAACCAAGCUUGGUUCUCGGGCUUUCGAACAGAAAACCUUAGUGCGUGUGUACGCGCGAUACGCCCGCGCAGGGGGGG
Molecule: long non-coding RNA, 975 nt
Filed under: Panax ginseng (ginseng)
Lineage: Eukaryota; Viridiplantae; Streptophyta; Magnoliopsida; Apiales; Araliaceae
Description: long non-coding RNA (PGIN_LNC010109)
Source: RNAcentral